GCGGCGGCGGCGGUGAAAGGACGUUCGCCUAAUCAGCUCUUUUUGCUUACCCAGACUACCUGAAAACGGUUGCCGUGGCUACGGAAUCACAUCUUGACGUCACUGAGCCUGCGGAAGUGUUUACGUGUUUCCGGCGUCGACAUCGUACCUGGACACACGGGUGGCGGCGGCGGCGGUGAAAGGACGUUCGCCUAAUCAGCUCUUUUUGCUUACCCAGACUACCUGAAAACGGUUGCCGUGGCUACGGAAUCACAUCUUGACGUCACUGAGCCUGCGGAAGUGUUUACGUGUUUCCGGCGUCGACAUCGUACCUGGACACACGGGUGGCGGCGGCGGCGGUGAAAGGACGUUCGCCUAAUCAGCUCUUUUUGCUUACCCAGGUUGGUAAAUUCGCUUAUUUCUCAAUACCGCCUUACCGCUACCGCCGUUGCCACCGUGUUUCAGUGCUUUGCUGAGUUCUCUGUGCAUAAUGUGCCUUUUUCCUAAUUGAAUGCUCCCGAAUUGAGUGCGAACUGAGUGCUACUGUGAAUGCCUGGACAACGUACCAUGACAAGCACGUGCCAGUCUUGUGAUGAGCCCCUCCCCUGUGAUGGGCGUG
Molecule: long non-coding RNA, 598 nt
Organism: Rhipicephalus microplus (southern cattle tick)
Lineage: Eukaryota; Metazoa; Arthropoda; Arachnida; Ixodida; Ixodidae
Source: RefSeq, a predicted model, not a curated record